RNAcentral lists this ribosomal RNA (198 nucleotides) under Anasa andresii. RNAcentral's name for it is "partial large subunit ribosomal RNA". The record is from RNAcentral. Lineage: Eukaryota; Metazoa; Arthropoda; Insecta; Hemiptera; Coreidae.
GUGGCGCGCCGGGCUUGGUCGGGAAGUGGAGCGGUGCCAACGUGCCGGGCCUGGGCGAGGUGAAGGGCGCUCGUCGUCCGGACCCUAGCUCGGUCCCGUGCCUUGGCCACCCACGGACCUUCCUUGCUGCGAGCCUCCCGGCUGUCUAGUUUCCGGCCCAGCCGGAGUACGGGCCGGAAGGCUCUUCGGCCGCCAUAG